CCGUACUAGGCGGGGAGUUAGCGGUGCCCUGUACUCGCAAUCCGCUAUAGCGAGGCGGAAUCCCCGGCCGCGGGCUGCCCUGGGCAGUGUAUGGAACCGGUAAGUAGUGUUGAGGGGUGGAUCCUGUGCAACAAGACGCCAUGAACCCUGUCAGGUCCUGACGGAAGCAGCAGUAAGUGGAUUGUCUUGUGUGCCGCAGAGCCAUCUGCCCUGAGCUGGCUGCCGGCAUCCCUG
This 234-nucleotide signal recognition particle RNA is filed under the name human gut metagenome. RNAcentral's name for it is "Bacterial large signal recognition particle RNA". It matches the Rfam family "Bacterial large signal recognition particle RNA", at positions 1 to 230 of the family's 256-position model. Rfam says of the family: The signal recognition particle (SRP) is a universally conserved ribonucleoprotein involved in the co-translational targeting of proteins to membranes. The record is from RNAcentral.